GACGAACGCUGGCGGCGUGCUUAACACAUGCAAGUCGAACGGAAAGGCCCUGCUUGCCGGGUACUCGAGUGGCGAACGGGUGAGUAACACGUGGGUGAUCUGCCCUGCACUUCGGGAUAAGCCUGGGAAACUGGGUCUAAUACCGGAUAGGAGCCAUUUUUAGUGUGAUGGUUGGAAAGUUUUUUCGGUGUAGGAUGAGCUCGCGGCCUAUCAGCUUGUUGGUGGGGUAAUGGCCUACCAAGGCGGCGACGGGUAGCCGGCCUGAGAGGGUGGACGGCCACAUUGGGACUGAGAUACGGCCCAGACUCCUACGGGAGGAAGAAGUGGGGAAUAUUGCACAAUGGGCGCAAGCCUGAUGCAGAGACGCCGCGUGGGGGAUGACGGCCUUCGGGUUGUAAACUCCUUUCGCUAGGGACGAAGCUUUUUGUGACGGUACCUAGAGAAGAAGCACCGGCUAACUACGUG
Molecule: ribosomal RNA, 465 nt
Filed under: uncultured bacterium
Lineage: Bacteria
Description: partial 16S ribosomal RNA
Rfam family: Bacterial small subunit ribosomal RNA
Source: RNAcentral